UGCUAGUUGCACGAGUUCAGACUCGUAGCAGAUAGCUCAGUAACACGUGGCCAAACUACCCUAUGGAUCCGGAUACCCUCGGGAAACUGAGACUAAUCCGGAAUAGCGUUCAUCGCCUGGAGUGGCACGAACGCGAAACGUUACGGCGCCAUAGGAUGUGGCUGCGGCCGAUUAGGUAGACGGUGGGGUAACGGCCCACCGUGCCCAUAAUCGGUACGGGUUGUGAGAGCAAGAGCCCGGAGACGGUAUCUGAGACAAGAUACCGGGCCCUACGGGGCGCAGCAGGCGCGAAACCUUUACACUGCACGCGAGUGCGAUAAGGGGACUCCGAGUGCGAGGGCAUAUAGUCCUCGCUUUUCACGACCGUAAGGAGGUCGCAGAAUAAGUGCUGGGCAAGACCGGUGCCAGCCGCCGCGGUAAUACCGGCAGCACGAGUGAUGACCGCUAUUAUUGGGCCUAAAGCGUCCGUAGCUGGCCACGCAAGUUCGUCGGGAAAUCUGCGCGCUUAACGCGCAGGCGUCCGGUGGAAACUGUGUGGCUUGGGACCGGAAGACCAGAGGGGUACGUCCGGGGUAGGAGUGAAAUCCCGUAAUCCUGGACGGACCACCGGUGGCGAAAGCGCCUCUGGAAGACGGAUCCGACGGUGAGGGACGAAAGCUCGGGUCACGAACCGGAUUAGAUACCCGGGUAGUCCGAGCUGUAAACGAUGUCUGCUAGGUGUGGCACAGGCUACGAGCCUGUGCUGUGCCGUAAGGAAGCCGUGAAGCAGACCGCCUGGGAAGUACGUCCGCCAGGAUGAAACUUAAAGGAAUUGGCGGGGGAGCACUACAACCGGAGGAGCCUG
This 844-nucleotide ribosomal RNA is filed under the name Natrinema sp. RNAcentral's name for it is "bacterial SSU rRNA". It matches the Rfam family "Archaeal small subunit ribosomal RNA", at positions 52 to 897 of the family's 1478-position model. The record is from RNAcentral. Lineage: Archaea; Methanobacteriati; Methanobacteriota; Halobacteria; Halobacteriales; Natrialbaceae.